Molecule: long non-coding RNA, 438 nt
Organism: Oncorhynchus tshawytscha (Chinook salmon)
Lineage: Eukaryota; Metazoa; Chordata; Actinopteri; Salmoniformes; Salmonidae
Source: Ensembl
GAGAGGAGAGGGAGGCAGCGAGGGGAGAGGAGAGGAGAGGGGAGGGAGGCAGCGAGGGGAGAGGAGAGGAGAGGGAGGGAGGCAGCGAGGGAAGAGGAGAGGAGAGGGAGGCAGCGAGGGAAGAGGAGAGGAGAGGGAGGCAGCGAGGGAAGAGGAGAGGGAGGCAGCGAGGGAAGAGGAGAGGAGAGGGAGGCAGCGAGGGGAGAGGAGAGGGAGGCAGCGAGGGGAGAGGAGAGGAGAGGGAGGCAGCGAGGGGAGAGGAGAGGAGAGGAGAGGGAGGCAGCGAGGGAAGAGGACAGGAGAGGGAGGCAGCGAGGGGAGAGGAGAGGAGAGGGAGGUAGCGAGGGGAGAGGAGAGGGAGGCAGUGAGGGGAGAGGAGAGGGAGGCAGCGAGGGGGAGGAGAGGAGAGGGAGGCAGCGAGGGGAGAGGAGAGAAGAG